Theobroma cacao (cacao) is the source of this 358-nucleotide non-coding RNA. The record is from RefSeq and is a predicted model, not a curated record. Lineage: Eukaryota; Viridiplantae; Streptophyta; Magnoliopsida; Malvales; Malvaceae.
GUUCAGGAUAGUCUAUAGAUAGCACAUUUUGUCGAGGACUAGUAUUGGAUCUGCAAUCUUUCAAACUGUCCCAACGAGGCCCCACAAUUCCAUUUGGACCAUUAGUGGAGAUUGGAGUUGAGUAAAGAUUCAACAAAUACUGGUUUCCUGAGUUAAAGGUGAUUGAACCCUAGGAUGAGGUGCUUCUCCCUACAUUUCUCGGUAGGUUUAACGUAACACUAAAUGUUAUCAAUCGUGCCCAGAGUCACUCCACUGACGGUCAAGAUCUAAUUAUGUAUAUAUGAAUAUUUGAUGUGAAACAUUAUGGUUCAUUUAUUAAUCUAUAUAUGUAUAUAAUGGUUGAUGAUGCCAUUAUGAA